UACCUGAGCUCACAGGAUUCAAUCAUGUGAUGAUCACAUAAGACUUUUAGCAUUGAAAUACUUUUGUAAGGAGUGGUUUAGAUAGAGAGGAGAGAUAGGGAUCAUAUCAAGGUUUAGGAGAAGGAGGAGAUGUUAGAAAAAGAGAUUACCAGAAUGCAUAGGGCUUGGGAUCAAGUUAGAUAGAGAGGAGGGAAGAGGACGACAAUGAGUUUUAAAGAGAAGGAGGAGGUGUUGGAAGAGUACGAGGUGGUAGGAGUGCUCAGGUUUGGGAUCAAAUUAGAUGGAGGAGGAAGAUGACAAUGACAGAGUUUAGAGAGGCGAAGGUGCUAUAAGAGGAGAUGGUGAUGGGACUCGGAUCGAACCAGAUUAGAUAAAGAGG
RNAcentral lists this long non-coding RNA (379 nucleotides) under Elaeis guineensis (African oil palm). Its description in RNAcentral is "long non-coding RNA (EGUI_LNC002119)". Lineage: Eukaryota; Viridiplantae; Streptophyta; Magnoliopsida; Arecales; Arecaceae. The record is from RNAcentral.